AUUGUACUCCCUCCGUCUCAAAAAUUUUGUCUUAGAUUUGUCUAGAUAUGAACGUAUCUAGUCAAGUUUUAGUAUUUNGAUACAUCCAUUUCUAGACAAACCUAGGACAAGAAUUUUGGGACGGAGGGAGUAUGAU
Hordeum vulgare subsp. vulgare (domesticated barley) is the source of this 136-nucleotide non-coding RNA. The record is from Rfam. NCBI's taxonomy places the organism in Eukaryota, Viridiplantae, Streptophyta, Magnoliopsida, Poales, Poaceae.